GACAACAAAAAAAUAUUUAUUUCCAGAUAUUAUUAAUUUUCCACCAAAAUAUUAAAAAAAAAAAAUACACUAUUCAAUUUGUCUUUAAGAGUUGCUGCCACAGACUCACAUAGUUUCUCUGCAGAAGGGUCAUAGCCAUUUGGAGGGAGGAAGAAGAAGAGAAUUUAGUUUUUUAUUCUAUUUUUUACUAAGGGUAAAAUUGUC
RNAcentral lists this long non-coding RNA (204 nucleotides) under Vigna radiata. Its description in RNAcentral is "long non-coding RNA (VRAD_LNC005614)". Lineage: Eukaryota; Viridiplantae; Streptophyta; Magnoliopsida; Fabales; Fabaceae. The record is from RNAcentral.